UGAGGAAUAUUGGUCAAUGGGCGAAAGCCUGAACCAGCCAAGUCGCGUGAGGGAAGACGGUCCUAUGGAUUGUAAACCUCUUUUGUCGGGGAGCAAGGAUCCGCACGAGUGCGGAGGCGAGAGUACCCGAAGAAAAAGCGUCGGCUAACUCCGUGCCAGCAGCCGCGGUAAUACGGAGGAUGCGAGCGUUAUCCGGAUUUAUUGGGUUUAAAGGGUGCGCAGGCGGAGGAUCAAGUCAGCGGUAAAAUAGCGGGGCUCAACCCCGUCGAGCCGUUGAAACUGGUUUUCCUAGAGUGAGCGAGAAGUAUGCGGAAUGCGUGGUGUAGCGGUGAAAUGCAUAGAUAUCACGCAGAACUCCGAUUGCGAAGGCAGCAUACCGGCGCUCAACUGACGCUCAGGCACGAAAGCGUGGGUAUCGAACAGGAUUAGAUACC
RNAcentral lists this ribosomal RNA (434 nucleotides) under uncultured bacterium. RNAcentral's name for it is "bacterial SSU rRNA". It matches the Rfam family "Bacterial small subunit ribosomal RNA", at positions 355 to 786 of the family's 1533-position model. The record is from RNAcentral.